Molecule: long non-coding RNA, 3079 nt
Organism: Triplophysa dalaica
Lineage: Eukaryota; Metazoa; Chordata; Actinopteri; Cypriniformes; Nemacheilidae
Exons: 3
Source: RefSeq, a predicted model, not a curated record
CUGGACCUUGGCCCAACGUGUUAAGAGACCAGAGCGUUAUGAUUGAUAUGGAGCUCUCAAGUGAGGCCACACGGCCAGUCUUGAUUUGUCCCCUGCGUGGCCUUGCGGGAGGGUCCGUCUCUCCGCAAUCCAUCUUACAGAUUUUCUCCCAUUAUUCUGACAAGCAAAGUUACAAGUAUAAAUUGCAGUUUAAAGGGCUUGUUCGUUCAUGUAGAAGAUAUCUUUAAUCCGCAUCUACCCAAAGACUUUAUUGUGGAACAAUCCAUGAAGCUGUGAUAAGGCUGUAGGCAAAAGUUAAAUUAAACAGUAAAUUAUUUUAAUACAAUAGCACAAACAUAAAGUCAUAAAUCUCUUUCCCUCACAUAAAACGGCUUUGGGUUUAUUUUAUAAUAUAGUAUCUUCAGAUAAUCUUAAAUUCACAGCUGGUUUAAUUAGAAAAUUGUUCAUUGAUAAUGUGUGUGGAUAUUUCAAUAAACUGUCUCUGAGGUAUGUUUUCCACUAACCAUUGUGAUAUGCAUUCAGAAAUAAUCAUAGAGCGUAUGCAUGUGUUAAACGUUUUUAGUCAACUGCUAAAGUUUGUUAUAGAUUAUAGUAAUAGAGGCAACAGCAUGCCUGUUGUCAUAGUGAAUAUUAAAGGCUGAUUCGCCACUUUUCACUGAGUGUUUAUGUACAACAAUUAACUUUCACAUGAAUGAUCUUGUAAUAAUUUCUGGCUGUGUAGCGUCAACAACAUGAACAUUUUGAAAUCAAAAUGUAAGACAUUGGUAGCCAGUAAAGAAGUUUUAAUGCUGUAAGUUUAAAAAAAUAAUGAUGAUGCUUUUAAUGUAAUCUUGUAUUGUUUGUCCUAAAUUAACCGUUUGCUUUAUUGUUUUGACAGAUGUUCUGGAGAGAACAUUAAAAAGCUUUUUCGAACCAGCUGUUGAAUGUUUGACGGUUGUCUUUGAGUCCUAAGGAAAAACACCUCUAACGCAAGACAAAGGUUAGACUUCAUCCCCUCCACCUUUUCACAUUUAUUUCUUUUCCGGCUAUUUUAAAGGGCCUCUCUACAUUUGCAAUGGGGGUUUUACUAAAUGAUGCCUAAUAUCCCUAAAACAUAGUUUGUGAAGUCUGAAGUUUUGACCUUAACUGAGACAGGAAGAGACAGGUGCCUGUGGCGUUGUGUGUGGACACACCUAUGUGAACUCUGUUCAGCUGGAAGAAAAGGUCAGUGAAAUGUCAUGGAGUCAUGUUCUUAUGAGCUUGAUCGGACAUGAUAAAAUCAAACCUGCUGUUCGGUUUAUCCCACUGUACUUUCUGACAUCCAUUAUAACCAUACUCAUAGUGUAUCUGGUCCAAUCAAUGUUGGUAUAAAUGUUAAAUGUGAUCGCUGCUUUAUGACAUCUUGUUUUGUUAAAUGGUGUUAAACUAAAACACGAAUUUUACUGUUUUUUGCUGAUCGAUUUAUAUUACACGCACAAAGUUUAAUACUUUAAACUUUGAAUUGUUUUCUUGUUCGAGAAAGGUGGAUUUAUUGACCAUUUUUGAUCUUAAUGUUCAUAGAAUUUGUAUAAAAACAAUGUCAGCACAGUGCAAAUUUCAUUUGGUACUUGGCCAUGCAUACUGAUAUUUUGCACUCUUGUAUGUGCAUUUUUGCCUAUACGUUACCGAUGUGAGCUUUAUGUGAAAACAUUUGUGGCGCUGUCUUUUUUAAGGUUCAAUUUGGAUUUCUCCAAGAAUAAAAACAACAACACACAGGUGUGACAAAUGACAAGUCUAGGCACAACUGACAACUGAUAUUGAGCUGAAUUCUUUAUGCUCAAUAUUUUGCCUUGACCUAGUUGAGGCCCUAAAGCCUCCUUUCCGUGUCCAUUUAAUGAAUUUCCGCACCGGAAAUAGGCCACGGGUGUAAGGGGCAGGGGCUUGGACGUGAGUGUGCGCUCAUCUGGGAGCAUCCCUACCCUUCAAUCUUGCCUCAUUAGUCUAACUUGGCAGUCGCAAAGAUGUUGUGUCACGUCUAUUUUGGGCCCCAAACUCUAAAAUGCCCCUUCAACUUAUCUUUCUGCAUUCUCCAUUACCCCCUCGCCACCCAUGAGAGAAUGUGGAAGGGAUGCGAUUGGCCCCUGCACUAUCGUUGUCAAGGAGACACAUCAGGAGGGAGGAAUCGGACUCCGAUGCGGCUCGCUAACUGUGUCAAGGACGCAACAGCCGAACCCGGGACAGUUCACCUGUGAGAGGCCUGAGACUGGGCACACAUAACUGCUGUUUCCGCCUGCCUCAUUGCCUCAAGAUUCAAUACCUUUCAGCUCUCCCCUCGGAUCAUUCAAGCACACACCUUUUCUUUCAGAUGUACUUUACUGCAGGAAUGUUACAUCAAUGUCGCCACGGCAACGGCUGGCUGAGCAGGAGAGCUGUGAAUUGAACAUAGUGAUGAUAUCAGGCAUCCGCUGUUCCCAGGUCAUGCCACUCACCUGCAUAGCCUGUGGGUGUACCACAAUACAGAAAGGACUGAAAGAAUGAAGGAAGUUCCUCGCUGACAUGCUGAGUUUGUGGAAAAAGGCCUAGUAAGAGCCAGAGUGCUGGGGAGGAAGAUGGGUGACCGAAGGAAGCAAUAAUACAGCAUGUCCUGACUGAAAGGGGAGCAGACCCUCUCGUGCUCUUCUGCUAAUGAGCCACUUCCACUGUCCUUGUGUUCAACAUGAGUCAUGUGACUGUCAGACAUUACAUCUAUUGCACGAUUUUAGCGAUGACGCCUAUAGCGCUCAUGAUGGCUUUUGCCUUAGGAUUUUUUCCUGUAAUAGAAGUAUUUUUGACCAAAGAAUGCUUUGUUGUGCGCUCUGAACCACUUGUUAAGCAAACAUUCUUAUCUUAGAUCUUGAUAAAAAGUCAGGUCCGUCCCCAACUUCCUUCUCCUGACAUCACUGUUUGUGUGGCCAAAUAUCCAGCGAGGUCAUGGAGUGGAAUAUUUGAGCUGGAAUAAAUAUAUAGUAAUAUAUAAACCUGAUCAGCUUUGUAAAUGAAUAACCUGAUUGAAAUACAAACUGUAUGCUUUAUAUACUUUUCUUGUUAUAUAACUAUGUACAAUAUGUCUAAUGGGAUGUUU